RNAcentral lists this ribosomal RNA (185 nucleotides) under Rhodobacter capsulatus YW1. RNAcentral describes it as "partial 16S ribosomal RNA". It matches the Rfam family "Bacterial small subunit ribosomal RNA", at positions 1356 to 1533 of the family's 1533-position model. Lineage: Bacteria; Pseudomonadati; Pseudomonadota; Alphaproteobacteria; Rhodobacterales. The record is from RNAcentral.
GACGCGGUGAAUACGUUCCCGGGCCUUGUACACACCGCCCGUCACACCAUGGGAAUUGGGUCUACCCUAAGAUGGUGCGCCAACCAGCAAUGGAGGCAGCCAGCCACGGUAGGCUCAGUGACUGGGGUGAAGUCGUAACAAGGUAGCCGUAGGGGAACCUGCGGCUGGAUCACCUCCUUUCUAAG